GCCGGGGUGGUCGAGCCCGGUUCGCGUAGGCUGAAAGGCGGCGGGCUGCAGACCCGCAGUACGUGGGUUCAAAUCCCACCCCCGGCU
RNAcentral lists this transfer RNA (87 nucleotides) under Candidatus Bathyarchaeota archaeon. RNAcentral describes it as "tRNA-Cys". It matches the Rfam family "tRNA". From Rfam's summary of the family: Transfer RNA (tRNA) molecules are approximately 80 nucleotides in length. The record is from RNAcentral. Lineage: Archaea; Thermoproteati; Candidatus Bathyarchaeota.